This 328-nucleotide unclassified non-coding RNA is filed under the name soil metagenome. RNAcentral describes it as "partial contains 5.8S ribosomal RNA, internal transcribed spacer 2, and large subunit ribosomal RNA". The stretch from base 1 to 120 matches the Rfam family "5.8S ribosomal RNA", at positions 35 to 154 of the family's 154-position model. The record is from RNAcentral.
GAUGAAGAACGUAGUGAAAUGCGAUAAGUAAUGUGAAUUGCAGAAUCUCGUGAAUCAUCGAAUCUUUGAACGCACAUUGCGCCCCCUGGUAUUCCGGGGGGCAUGCCUGUCCGAGCGUCAUUACAACCCUCAAGCUCAGCUUGGUGUUGGGCCCCGCCGCCCCGGCGGGCCCUAAAGUCAGUGGCGGUGCCGUCCGGCUCCGAGCGUAGUAAUUCUUCUCGCUCUGGAGGUCCGGUCGUGUGCUCGCCAGCAACCCCCAAUUUUUUUCAGGUUGACCUCGGAUCAGGUAGGGAUACCCGCUGAACUUAAGCAUAUCAAUAAGCGGGGA